GCUUCAAAGGGUAUAAACUUUACUUCGCGAGGACUAGCCAUCAAGUUUCUUUUUAAUAAUAAAAUUUAUUUGUGUUCUGUAUGAAACACGUAUAUUCGGGAUUGAAAUUGGCAAUCUAAAAUCAAAAUACAUCUAUCUUUCUCUUAUAUUUCUUUUCGAUUUUGAUUCGCGAUAUUUCCACUACACUAGAGAUAUCAACUCGCGUGCGAGAUAGCGUGAAAUGUCGAAUUUUCUUGCAAAAUCCAAUCUUAAUCUCUCGAUCCGAAAUCGCACAGCCCGAUAUUCUCUUCUCAUUCUCCUUCCCCUUUCGAAUGCAAGCUGUUCUUUUGCAUUCGAUGUAUUCAGCAGCUCGCUCGUCUCGCGGAUUCGCGCGUGAAUCUGUCGAUAUUCCAUCGGAUAUGCCUGGGCUGGAGAAAGGAAAACAUUACGGCGCCUCCUGAUAUCCCUAUUUUUCCUCGCGGUUCUCGCUCGAUAUAGCCAACGGAUCGAGAAAAAUAUUCUCUUCGCGUCCCGGAAGUUUAUAAAUUCCAUCAAAACGUAUCUCAAUGCCAUCGAGAUACCUAUUCUUGUAAAGAGAAGAUCCGCAUGAGACGAAAGCGAAUCUUUUCUCAGUCAACUCGAUAUCUUUUUCUAAUAUUGUAAGAAUUAUUAGAGAAAAUUUAAGUUUCAAGUGCAAAAUUUUAUGGAGAAAUCAGGUAUCAAAAUGUAUAAUUUCAGAAAGUGAGAAAUUGUGUGACGAUUAACGCAUAUGUAUAAAAUACAUAUACAUUUUAUUCUUGCUUCGUGCACUCUGUAUUCCUUUCAGUGAUUUUAUCGAUAUUCUUCCUGGCUAGAUGUUAAAUCUGCCAUACACACUUUGCACUUACACCUACUCUUCUUUUACCUGACCUAAAAUCUAUUAAACAUUAUUUAUCGAGAUAUAUGUAAAAUCAUCUGUCAUGCGGAUCAUUUUUGUAUCCCUUCGCCAAGCUUCUGAAAUAUUUUAUCUAAGAUAUUGAGUUCCACGGGAGAAGUGCCUUCUCAUUCAAUUCAAGCGAAAACUAUUCGACAUAGCUUCGUGUAAAAAAGAGAAAUGACGAGAGACCGUCUAGUCUUCGUCGCUCAGUCAAGGGAGUCGGAGUUUGCACACGGGCGAAGACAUCCCGCAGGAAUUUUACUCCUUUUUUCCUCUUUUCAGGGUGCACCACGCGGAUCGCUUACGAUCAGGCUCGUCAUAAGGUAUGCGUGAUGCAACGUCGUGGCGGCGACGGCGACGGCGAUGUGCAUUUAGACACAUCUGGGACGAGUGGCGCAUCGUAAUAAACACGCGUGGCCGCGGGGACAAUGAAAUUUCGUGUGCAUCUAGCGACGAGGGGAGAACAGAUGCAUACGCUGCGGCUUCUGACGCGCUGAUAAGAUCGGCGCACGUUCUCGCAUUCACAAUGAAAACGAGGAGGCGCGACGACACGGAAAUUAUCUCGCGCGCAGUACCGGUUAGUAUAUCCCUAAUCCUAAUAUCCUCUAGUUGGCCAUUCUCUUUGAAAUACCUGAGUGUUCCAAAAUAUACGGAAUAUUUAAACGCUGAAUUUGAUUAGGCUACCAAAAUUUCAUCGAUUGUUUUACAUCAUGCUUCCCACACGAACAGUAUAUCCAUGUUAUUCGUAGCAAUCCUUUAGCUUUCAAUAUUUCAUUUAUUCAAUCAUGUUGUAAAUUACAUUUGUUUAUGUUGUUAAAAAAAGUUUGUUGACUAGUGUAAUUCUUAUGACAUAUUGCAAAAAGACAGACUCGCUUUCGUUCUCAUAUCUAGCUUUCAUAAGGAUACUCGAUGACACCGAAGUACGUUUUCGUGUCGGUAACAUGUAAAAAUUAGCGUCAACUGAAUCUUAUCGAUUGUUAUACCAAUACCGUGUAUGAGUUUAUAUCAAACCGACUAAUAUCACCCUUUUUUUUUUAGUUUUUACUUGUCUAAAGGAACUCACUCUUCCACUCAAUUCUAAAAGGAAGCGUGCAUUUCCUCCCUAUUUUCGAUACGUGAAAGGUUUCGGAGCGUUUCGAGCGAAAAGGAUGGGACAAUAUUGCAAUCACUUGCGACCGAUUUACUAUUUUAAUAAAGUGGGCGCGAAAAGAGGCGGCGACGCCUCGAAAUUAUGGCAGAUGUGGGACGACGCGGAGCAACGGGAAAAGCAGAGAAGGAAAGCAAGAGAGAGAGAGAGAGAACCAUGCUAAUGGUACCAUAGAUUUCUACUCCUUUCCGUUCGCAUUUCGUCGUCGUCGAGGGGUGGAAAAUCGCGCGUUGCGCAAGGCAGAGUGGCGGAGGAAUGAGAACAACUGAAAGGAGCGCGACUCGCUUAACCCUCUAAACGCGUGGAAUAAUUUACGAUCGGUCCCAUCCGCGACGAUCUUCUCCGAGGGAGAAGGAGAAGGGUUUCUUUCGCCCGGGUUGCCUCCCUUUUCUCCCUUUUCUCUCUCUUUUCCCAUCCGCCGCGGAAACCAACCCCGUUAUCCACGAUUUCCUCGGCGCACCACCCACCGCGAUGCCACCGGAACUCGCCGGUUCCAUACACAAACCAGAGAACGUCGCGGGAGAGACGGUUGAUCGAUCGACUUACAUUCGAUCUGCCUGCUCAUCCUUUUACGCCACCUUAUACUUGCUUUCAGGGCGAUGCGAAAGUGCCACUUAGCGCGACUUGUAAUAUCGCGAAUACCGCGGCGUUCACAUCUCCGUAAAUUAUAACUGGGAUACAUAUAUCAUAUUUCGAAAUAACAGUUCGUAAACUCUAUGUUUUAUUGGAUGAAAUAUUUAAUCUAGACAUUUGGUUCAACAGACGACAAACAUAUCGUCGAAUAAAAAUAAUCGAACUUGGUCAAAGACUAUCCCAAGUUUUUAAAGACUAUUUCAAAUUGAUUCGUAAAAAAGAAUCUUUCAUUUAAUCUACAACGUCUUUUCAAAAAACAACCUCUUCUCAAGACAUUUCCGGAAGUUAUUCCUAUGUAAACGCAUUAUUGCACAAUUAAGGAUCAGCGGCCCGUCGCAGCUGUAUCGUCAAAUACGUCGACACAUCACGCUUAAGGGGAAAUGCAGCAGAACUAUAUCGAUAAUUUUAUAAUAAUUCAAUAUUCAUUACAGCGACAGGAGGCACGUAUGCUCCGGGGAAAUGCUGUUGAUAUUGCGAGAGACAGGGACAAACGAUAGUCGCAUCCUUCAGCCUGACUCCCUUUUGAGUCGGCCUCUUCCGAAGUUACACCGCCAUCGAAUUUACGUCGAACUCCUUUGUGCAGCGGAUCACGACAGAAACCAAAUUAAGAACGAGCCUUGGUUUAAUGGGAUUUUGAGGCGCGGAGACGAGGAUAGACUUGCGGGAUGACUGACGACAUCAUAAACGUUAAUAUCUCUCGGUUCAUCACAAAAACUGUUCCUUAUGAACAAAUAUAUCUGCGGAAGACACGAUUGUCGCUAAGAUUUUUACAACCUUUGGCAUGCACUCUAGCACGUCAUCGAUCAAUUCGGGCCGCUCGACACGCGACACCAACCCAAGACAGCAUCACGAAAAGUGGAUAAACAAUGACUCCCUCGAGAUCGUCAACUUUCUCGAAAGUUUACGACAGUCCGGCUCUGUUCAAACUGCGCAAAAAGCACGACCGUGCGGAACUUGGGUACCGAGAAUCCGGAAACGAUUAGAACGAUAUACUGACGAACUAUAUGAAAUAUUUUUAUACUCCCGAAAGAAAGCACGUAAUUCCAGAACCGUCGUAGAAUUUUACGAUCGAUAUAAAGGGUACGAAGAUCCCUCUUGAUACUUUGCGAGUAAAAAUAAAGAAGACAAUUUUUAAGACGCAAAGUGUGAAGCUUUUUUCAGCUUCGUUUCAAGUGAAAAAGUGUAAUUUUUUCCAACAAAAACGAUUGCAGAAUAUCUACAUUUCCUGUUGAUUAAAGCCUUUCGAAAGCUAAUAAACAGUAGUUGUUUUACUUUAAUCUAACUAGUGUGUAAAGACUGUUAUUCAGAGCCGUGUUUAAAAUAACAAAUUAAAUGUACACAAAUGCUACUAUACACGUAAUAAAAAGAUAAUC
RNA transcript from Vollenhovia emeryi, 4048 nucleotides. RefSeq lists it as uncharacterized. NCBI's taxonomy places the organism in Eukaryota, Metazoa, Arthropoda, Insecta, Hymenoptera, Formicidae. The record is from RefSeq and is a predicted model, not a curated record. The transcript is spliced from 3 exons.